GACGAACGCUGGCGGCGUGCUUAACACAUGCAAGUCGAACGGAAAGGCCCUGCUUUUGUGGGGUGCUCGAGUGGCGAACGGGUGAGUAACACGUGAGUAACCUGCCCUUGACUUUGGGAUAACUUCAGGAAACUGGGGCUAAUACCGGAUAGGAGCUCCUGCUGCAUGGUGGGGGUUGGAAAGUUUCGGCCGUUGGGGAUGGACUCGCGGCUUAUCAGCUUGUUGGUGGGGUAGUGGCUUACCAAGGCUUUGACGGGUAGCCGGCCUGAGAGGGUGACCGGCCACAUUGGGACUGCGAUACGGCCCAGACUCCUACGGGAGGCAGCAGUGGGGAAUAUUGCACAAUGGGCGGAAGCCUGAUGCAGCAACGCCGCGUGCGGGAUGACGGCCUUCGGGUUGUAAACCGCUUUCGCCUGUGACGAAGCGUGAGUGACGGUAAUGGGUAAAGAAGCACCGGCUAACUACGUG
Molecule: ribosomal RNA, 468 nt
Filed under: uncultured bacterium
Lineage: Bacteria
Description: partial 16S ribosomal RNA
Rfam family: Bacterial small subunit ribosomal RNA
Source: RNAcentral